AAUGGGCAGCGCGGCUUACCAUGCAGUCGAGGGGCAGCAUAAAAGUAGCAAUACUUUGGUGGCGACCGGCGCACGGGUGAGUAACGCGUAUGCAACCUACCUAUCAGAGGGGGAUAACCCGGCGAAAGUCGGACUAAUACCGCAUAAAACAGGGGCACCGCAUGGUGAUAUUUGUUAAAAAUUUAUUGCUGAUAGAUGGGCAUGCGUUCCAUUAGGUAGUUGGAGAGGUAACGGCUCACCAAGCCCACGAUGGAUAGGGGAACUGAGAGGUUGGUCCCCCACACUGGUACUGAGACACGGACCAGACUCCUACGGGAGGCAGCAGUGAGGAAUAUUGGUCAAUGGGCGAGAGCCUGAACCAGCCAAGUCGCGUGAAGGAAGAAGGAUCUAUGGUUCGUAAACUUCUUUUGCAGGGGAAUAAAGUGCAGGACGUGUCCUGUUUUGUAUGUACCCUGAGAAUAAGGAUCGGCUAACUCCGUGCCAGCAGCCGCGGUAAUACGGAGGAUCCGAGCGUUAUCCGGAUUUAUUGGGUUUAAAGGGUGCGUAGGUGGUUUAAUAAGUCAGCGGUGAAAGUUUGCAGCUUAACUGUAAAAAUGCCGUUGAAACUGUUAGACUUGAGUGUAAAUGAGGUAGGCGGAAUGCGUGGUGUAGCGGUGAAAUGCUUAGAUAUCACGCAGAACUCCGAUUGCGAAGGCAGCUUACCAAGCUACAACUGACACUGAAGCACGAAAGCGUGGGGAUCAAACAGGAUUAGAUACCCUGGUAGUCCACGCAGUAAACGAUGAUUACUAGCUGUUUGCGAUACACAGUAAGCGGCACAGCGAAAGCGUUAAGUAAUCCACCUGGGGAGUACGCCGGCAACGGUGAAACUCAAAGGAAUUGACGGGGCCCGCACAAGCGGAGGAACAUGUGGUUUAAUUCGAUGAUACGCGAGGAACCUUACCCGGGUUUGAACGCAGAGAGACAGGAGUGGAACAUUCUUUUCAGCAAUGACUGUCUGC
Molecule: ribosomal RNA, 1001 nt
Filed under: uncultured bacterium
Lineage: Bacteria
Description: bacterial SSU rRNA
Rfam family: Bacterial small subunit ribosomal RNA
Source: RNAcentral